AACAACAAGAAUAAUAAUAACAACAACAAUGACAACAGCAACGACAACAACAACAGCGACAACAGGAAAAACAACAACAACAACAACAAAAACAACAGCAACAAAAACAACAACAACAACAACACGAUUAGUCAAUUUAUCUUCUCCUCGUAACUUUUUUCGUAACUCCUCUUAUAAAUAAUGUAAUUUAUCUUGAUAAAAAAUUAUCCUUCAUGAUAAAUAAAGAAAAUAUAUUAUUUAAAAGGGUGCAAAUCUUCAAAUUAGAGAGACACACUUUUUUUGUUUUAAAUAUUCAUACUCAUAAAUCAUAUGUAAUUGCCUAUUAAAUUUUUAUACUCGUGAUAUCCAUUUUAAGAUGAAGGAAUCAUCUGAAUGAAGCCCCUUCUGGACUCAAAACACGUUCAUUUGACUCUAUGAGGUUUAAUGUGCAAGCUGAAAAAUUGCAUAAAAAGAAGAUCUCUAGUGAAUGGUGCUACAAUUGCUCAGAAGGAUGAGAGGAUUGAUAUUAUUAGUGUCAUCUAAGGUAAAGGUUAUGAAGGUGUUGUAACUCGUUCAGGGAGUAACAUGUGUUACUUGAAAAACUCACGGGGCUAUACUUAAGGUUGCAUGUAUCAGUGCCUGCGAGCCUGUUGGAGUUUCAUUGAUGACUUGUGCUUGUCAAAAUGGAUACCAUCACCUACUUAGAAGAAUAGAGUUUCAACAUUUACUCCAUUUGGAACAGAAGAAGUUUUAAAUAAUUUAUUGUUAUUGUUAUUGUUUAUUUUCAAGAAGGUGUUUUUGAAGAUAAUUUUGAACAUUUUAAUGCUUUCUGUUGUCUCGAAGAUUGUAGUUGAGAUUUGAGAACACUCUUAAUACAAAAGUUUUAUUGUUGUCGUUUAAA
This is a non-coding RNA of Solanum lycopersicum (tomato), 880 nucleotides long. NCBI's taxonomy places the organism in Eukaryota, Viridiplantae, Streptophyta, Magnoliopsida, Solanales, Solanaceae. The record is from RefSeq and is a predicted model, not a curated record.